Molecule: ribosomal RNA, 406 nt
Filed under: uncultured bacterium
Lineage: Bacteria
Description: partial 16S ribosomal RNA
Rfam family: Bacterial small subunit ribosomal RNA
Source: RNAcentral
AUUGAACGCUGGCGGCAGGCCUAACACAUGCAAGUCGAACGAGUGGCGGACGGGUGAGUAAUGUCUGGGAAACUGCCCGAUGGAGGGGGAUAACUACUGGAAACGGUAGCUACUACCGCAUACCAUCGGAUGUGCCCAUAUGGGAUUAGCUAGUGGGGGGGGUAACGGCUCACCAAGGCGACGAUCCCUAGCUGGUCUGAGAGGAUGACCAGCCACACGGGAACUGAGACACGGUCCAGACUCCUACGGGAGGCAGCAGUGGGGAAUAUUGCACAAUGGGCGCAAGCCUGAUGCAGCCAUGCCGCGUGUAUGAAGAAGGCCUUCGGGUGGUAAAGUACUUUCAGCGAGGAGGCGUUACUCGCAGAAGAAGCACCGGCUAACUCCGUGCCAGCCGCCGCGGUAAUAC